CACGUAGUUAGCCGUGGCUUAUUCAAGGGGUACCGUCUUCUGCUCUUCCCCCUUAAAAGAAGUUUACAACCCGAAAGCCUUCUUCCUUCACGCGGCGUUGCUGGGUCAGACUUGCGUCCAUUGCCCAAUAUUCCCCCACUGCUGCCUCCCGUAGGAGUCUGGGCCGUAUCUCAGUCCCAAUGUGGCCGGCCAACCUCUCAGUCCGGCUACUGAUCGUCGCCUUGGUGAGCCGUUACCUCACCAACUAGCUAAUCAGACGCGAGGCCAUCUUUCGGCGAUAAAAUCUUUGACAUGUCUGCGAUGCCACAGUCAUGUGUCAUGCGGUAUUAGCAGUCGUUUCCAACUGUUGUCCCCCUCCGAAAGGCAGGUUCCUCACGCGUUACUCACCAGUCCGCCACUAAGCGUUCCCUUCCAUUGUCCGAAAACUCUUUCAGGGGCGCUCCGUUCGACUUGCAUGUGUUAAGCACGCCGCCAGCGUUCGUCCUGAGCCAGGAUCAAACUCU
This 503-nucleotide ribosomal RNA is filed under the name uncultured Oscillibacter sp. RNAcentral describes it as "partial 16S ribosomal RNA". Lineage: Bacteria; Bacillati; Bacillota; Clostridia; Eubacteriales; Oscillospiraceae. The record is from RNAcentral.